AGGGAUCUCACUUGGAUACUGAGCUGCCAUGGGCUCAGAUUGGGCUGAGCUGGUUGGCUAGGAAGGUGUCCCCUUCCUCCCUCACCACUUCUUUGCCCACUUGGUCAAAGAAGAGGAUGACCUUCCCUGAAUAGAGAAGAGCCAGUCUUCAGUCUAGAGUAUAAGAGUAGCUGCGCUCCCCUGCAAGAACCUAUAAAAGGAGGUCAAGGUCCAUUUGUAUACAUUUUUAAAAUGUAUUUGUAUUGAAAUAUAAAAUCAUUUUAUCUCAUUCCAUUU
RNAcentral lists this small nuclear RNA (276 nucleotides) under Meriones unguiculatus (Mongolian gerbil). RNAcentral's name for it is "7SK RNA (ENSMUGG00000019595.1)". It matches the Rfam family "7SK RNA", at positions 49 to 331 of the family's 331-position model. Rfam says of the family: 7SK was discovered as an abundant small nuclear RNA in the mid-70s but a possible function has only recently been suggested. The record is from RNAcentral. Lineage: Eukaryota; Metazoa; Chordata; Mammalia; Rodentia; Muridae.